UCAGACGAUGCGUCAUGCAUAUCAAUAAGCGGAGGAAAAGAAACUAACAAGGAUUCCCCUAGUAACGGCGAGUGAAGCGGGAAGAGCUCAAAUUUGAAAUCUUAAAGGGUUUCCCUUUACGAAUUGUAGUUUAAAGAAGUGUUUUCUGUUGAGGUUUUGGUAAAAGUUCUUUGGAAUAGGACAUCAUAGAGGGUGAGAAUCCCGUAUUUGACCUUUACUUUCAACUUUGUGAUACACUUUCAAAGAGUCGGAUUGUUUGGGAAUGCAGUCCAAAAUGGGUGGUAAAUUUCAUCUAAAGCUAAAUAUUGGCGAGAGACCGAUAGCGAACAAGUACCGUGAGGGAAAGAUGAAAAGAACUUUGAAAAGAGAGUUAAACAGCACGUGAAAUUGUCAAAAGGGAAGCGUUUGACACCAGUGUUGUUUUUCUGAAAAUCAAUUAAAGAACUGUUUAUGCUAAGCUGUUUAGACUUUAUCAGCUAUCUGUUUAGUUUUGAGCUUUUCUUUAAUGCACUUUUCAGUUAACAAGUCAACAUCAAUUUCUUUUGCUGUAAAAAAGCUUGAGGAAGGUGGCUUGAGAUUCGUCUUAAGUGUUUAUAGCCUCUUGCCUAUGCAGUCGGAGAGAUUGAGGUCUGCAGCGUAGAUCCUUCGGGGCUAAAUGCAUUUGUGCUAAGUUAUAGCAUUUUAUAGACAACUUGUUGACUAUGAUUUGUCUUGUAGCUUACUCGCUUAUGUUAUUUUACCUACGCUUAGGAUGUUGACACACGCGCGUGCUCG
RNAcentral lists this ribosomal RNA (774 nucleotides) under uncultured Neocallimastigales. RNAcentral's name for it is "partial large subunit ribosomal RNA". It matches the Rfam family "Eukaryotic large subunit ribosomal RNA", at positions 18 to 643 of the family's 3401-position model. The record is from RNAcentral. Lineage: Eukaryota; Fungi; Neocallimastigomycota; Neocallimastigomycetes; Neocallimastigales.